Molecule: ribosomal RNA, 402 nt
Filed under: marine bacterium SIMO-4450
Lineage: Bacteria
Description: bacterial SSU rRNA
Rfam family: Bacterial small subunit ribosomal RNA
Source: RNAcentral
UGGCUUCGGCUACCACUUACAGAUGGACCCGCGGCGCAUUAGCUAGUUGGUGAGGUAACGGCUCACCAAGGCAACGAUGCGUAGCCGACCUGAGAGGGUGAUCGGCCACACUGGGACUGAGACACGGCCCAGACUCCUACGGGAGGCAGCAGUAGGGAAUCUUCCGCAAUGGACGAAAGUCUGACGGAGCAACGCCGCGUGAGUGAUGAAGGUUUUCGGAUCGUAAAGCUCUGUUGUUAGGGAAGAACAAGUACCGUUCGAAUAGGGCGGUACCUUGACGGUACCUAACCAGAAAGCCACGGCUAACUACGUGCCAGCAGCCGCGGUAAUACGUAGGUGGCAAGCGUUGUCCGGAAUUAUUGGGCGUAAAGGGCUCGCAGGCGGUUUCUUAAGUCUGAUGUG